This 249-nucleotide unclassified non-coding RNA is filed under the name uncultured bacterium. RNAcentral describes it as "contains 16S-23S intergenic spacer region". The record is from RNAcentral.
UCCGCGGUCAGACCGCAGCGGUCGCCGACCCUUUCGGGCGACUACUGCCAACAUGUCAAACCCCGGUAAGGUUCUUCGCUUUGCAUCGAAUUAAGCCACGCGCUCCGCCGCUUGUGCGGGCCCCCGUCAAUUCCUUUGAGUUUUAGCCUUGCGGCCGUACUCCCCAGGCGGGGUGCUUAAUGCGUUAGCUGCGGCACGGAAGUCUUGCGACCCCCACACCUAGCACCCACCGUUUACGGCUAGGACUAC